GGUAAACCUUGGUGACUAAUUAGAGUCUGGCUGAUAUGGUUUGACACAGAGCUAAAUCAUAUGAAACAGACUCUAAUUAGUCAACAAUUUCUGUU
Molecule: microRNA precursor, 95 nt
Organism: Gorilla gorilla gorilla (western lowland gorilla)
Lineage: Eukaryota; Metazoa; Chordata; Mammalia; Primates; Hominidae
Source: Ensembl